AAGCUCUGGCCGCUCCGGCGGCGUGGCCAAAUUUGCAAUUUGGCUCGCACAGAACU
Molecule: transfer RNA, 56 nt
Filed under: Bipes biporus
Lineage: Eukaryota; Metazoa; Chordata; Lepidosauria; Squamata; Bipedidae
Description: tRNA-Cys
Source: RNAcentral